RNAcentral lists this ribosomal RNA (318 nucleotides) under uncultured Lactobacillus sp. Its description in RNAcentral is "bacterial SSU rRNA". It matches the Rfam family "Bacterial small subunit ribosomal RNA", at positions 378 to 688 of the family's 1533-position model. Lineage: Bacteria; Bacillati; Bacillota; Bacilli; Lactobacillales; Lactobacillaceae. The record is from RNAcentral.
GCAGCCUGAUGGAGCGACACCGCGUGAGUGAAGAAGGGUUUCGGCUCGUAAAGCUCUGUUGUUGAAGAAGAACGUGCGUGAGAGUAACUGUUCAUGCAGUGACGGUAUUCAACCAGAAAGUCACGGCUAACUACGUGCCAGCAGCCGCGGUAAUACGUAGGUGGCAAGCGUUAUCCGGAUUUAUUGGGCGUAAAGCGAGCGCAGGCGGUUUUCUAAGUCUGAUGUGAAAGCCUUCGGCUUAACCGAAGAAGGGCAUCGGAAACUGGAUGACUUGAGUGCAGAAGAGGGCAGUGGAACUCCAUGUGUAGCGGUGAAAUC